UACGGAGGGAGCUAGCGUUGUUCGGAUAUACUGGGCGUAAAGCGCACGUAGGCGGCGCCGUAAGUCAGGGGUGAAAUCCCGGAGCUCAACUCCGGAACUGCCCUUGAGACUGCAGUGCUAGAAUCCUGGAGAGGCGAGUGGAAUUCCGAGUGUAGAGGUGAAAUUCGUAGAUAUUCGGAAGAACACCAGUGGCGAAGGCGACUCGCUGGACAGGUAUUGACGCUGAGGUGCGAAAGCGUGGGGAGCAAACAGG
This 253-nucleotide ribosomal RNA is filed under the name uncultured bacterium. Its description in RNAcentral is "partial 16S ribosomal RNA". It matches the Rfam family "Bacterial small subunit ribosomal RNA", at positions 524 to 776 of the family's 1533-position model. The record is from RNAcentral.